Molecule: ribosomal RNA, 984 nt
Filed under: Salmonella enterica subsp. enterica
Lineage: Bacteria; Pseudomonadati; Pseudomonadota; Gammaproteobacteria; Enterobacterales; Enterobacteriaceae
Description: partial 23S ribosomal RNA
Rfam family: Bacterial large subunit ribosomal RNA
Source: RNAcentral
CCUGUGUGACUGCGUACCUUUUGUAUAAUGGGUCAGCGACUUAUAUUCUGUAGCAAGGUUAACCGAAUAGGGGAGCCGGAGGGAAACCGAGUCUUAAUUGGGCGUUAAGUUGCAGGGUAUAGACCCGAAACCCGGUGAUCUAGCCAUGGGCAGGUUGAAGGUUGGGUAACACUAACUGGAGGACCGAACCGACUAAUGUUGAAAAAUUAGCGGAUGACCUGUGGCUGGGGGUGAAAGGCCAAUCAAACCGGGAGAUAGCUGGUUCUCCCCGAAAGCUAUUUAGGUAGCGCCUCGUGAAUUCAUCUCCGGGGGUAGAGCACUGUUUCGGCUAGGGGGCCAUCCCGGCUUACCAACCCGAUGCAAACUGCGAAUACCGGAGAAUGUUAUCACGGGAGACACACGGCGGGUGCUAACGUCCGUCGUGAAGAGGGAAACAACCCAGACCGCCAGCUAAGGUCCCAAAGUCAUGGUUAAGUGGGAAACGAUGUGGGAAGGCCCAGACAGCCAGGAUGUUGGCUUAGAAGCAGCCAUCAUUUAAAGAAAGCGUAAUAGCUCACUGGUCGAGUCGGCCUGCGCGGAAGAUGUAACGGGGCUAAACCAUGCACCGAAGCUGCGGCAGCGAACGUAUCACCCAAGACAACUUUACGGAGUUGACGAUUGACGGAGCGAAGCGACGUCAAAGCGUUCAUUAAAGUCGAGUUGGCUUAGGGAUACGUUCGUUGGGUAGGGGAGCGUUCUGUAAGCCUGUGAAGGUGUGUCGUGAGGCAUGCUGGAGGUAUCAGAAGUGCGAAUGCUGACAUAAGUAACGAUAAAGCGGGUGAAAAGCCCGCUCGCCGGAAGACCAAGGGUUCCUGUCCAACGUUAAUCGGGGCAGGGUGAGUCGACCCCUAAGGCGAGGCCGAAAGGCGUAGUCGAUGGGAAACGGGUUAAUAUUCCCGUACUUGGUGUUACUGCGAAGGGGGGACGGAGAAGGCUAUGUUGGCC